CUACGGGGGGCUGCAGCCGAGGAACUUCUGCAAUGCACGAAAGUGUGACAGAGCGAGCCAGAGUGCUUUUCUAUAAUUGAGAAGCUUUUGUGAGAUGUAAAAAAUCUUACGAAUAAGGACUGGGAGAGACUGGUGCCAGCCGCCGCGGUAAUACCAGCGGUCCAAGUCGCAUCCACUUUUAUUGGGUCUAAAACAUCCGUAGCUUGUUAGGUAAGUCUCUUGUGAAAUCUGGCAUCUUAAGUGUCGGGCGUGCAAGAGAUACUGCUUGGCUAGAGACUGGGAGACGUGGGGAGUACGACUAGGGUAGCGGUAAAAUGCGUUGAUCCUUUUCGGACUAACAAUAGCGAAGGCACCUUACGAGAACAGAUCUGACAGUGAGGGAUGAAGGCUAGGGUCGCAAAACGGAUUAGAUACCCCAGUAGUC
RNAcentral lists this ribosomal RNA (424 nucleotides) under uncultured archaeon. RNAcentral's name for it is "partial 16S ribosomal RNA". It matches the Rfam family "Archaeal small subunit ribosomal RNA", at positions 323 to 746 of the family's 1478-position model. The record is from RNAcentral.